GGUGGUCGACAUGAUUGUAGGCCACUUGGAGAGUGUAUCUCUCUGAGCGAUGUAAAUUGAAGUUGGGUCAUGUGGUUGCGAGAAGACGACUCGCAACAGUCGCGGUGCUGUAAGGAUUCAAGUGGACUUUGCGCCAUGAGAUCUUGAGGCUCAUCCGUCGACUUUAAACCAAA
This 173-nucleotide non-coding RNA is filed under the name Thelohanellus kitauei. RNAcentral describes it as "Eukaryotic large subunit ribosomal RNA". It matches the Rfam family "Eukaryotic large subunit ribosomal RNA", at positions 3226 to 3401 of the family's 3401-position model. Lineage: Eukaryota; Metazoa; Cnidaria; Myxozoa; Bivalvulida; Myxobolidae. The record is from Rfam by way of RNAcentral.